This 223-nucleotide ribosomal RNA is filed under the name uncultured bacterium. Its description in RNAcentral is "partial 16S ribosomal RNA". It matches the Rfam family "Bacterial small subunit ribosomal RNA", at positions 113 to 334 of the family's 1533-position model. The record is from RNAcentral.
CGACGUAAAGAAACUUGCCUCACAGCUAGGGACGAAAUUUAGAAAUGAAUGCUAAUACCUGAUAUUAUGAUUUUAAGGCAUCUUAGAAUUAUGAAAGCUAUAAGCACUGUGAGAGAGCUUUGCGUCCCAUUAGCUAGUUGGAGAGGUAACAGCUCACCAAGGCGAUGAUGGGUAGCCGGCCUGAGAGGGUGAACGGCCACAAGGGGACUGAGACACGGCCCUU